Molecule: ribosomal RNA, 568 nt
Filed under: uncultured bacterium
Lineage: Bacteria
Description: partial 16S ribosomal RNA
Rfam family: Bacterial small subunit ribosomal RNA
Source: RNAcentral
UGGGGAAUAUUGGACAAUGGGCGCAAGCCUGAUCCAGCCAUACCGCGUGGGUGAAGAAGGCCUUCGGGUUGUAAAGCCCUUUUGUUGGGAAAGAAAUCCAGCUGGCUAAUACCCGGUUGGGAUGACGGUACCCAAAGAAUAAGCACCGGCUAACUUCGUGCGAGCAGCCGCGGUAAUACGAAGGGUGCAAGCGUUACUCGGAAUUACUGGGCGUAAAGCGUGCGUAGGUGGUCGUUUAAGUCCGUUGUGAAAGCCCUGGGCUCAACCUGGGAACUGCAGUGGAUACUGGGCGACUAGAGUGUGGUAGAGGGUAGCGGAAUUCCUGGUGUAGCAGUGAAAUGCGUAGAGAUCAGGAGGAACAUCCAUGGCGAAGGCAGCUACCUGGACCAACACUGACACUGAGGCACGAAAGCGUGGGGAGCAAACAGGAUUAGAUACCCUGGUAGUCCACGCCCUAAACGAUGCGAACUGGAUGUUGGGUGCAAUUUGGCACGCAGUAUCGAAGCUAACGCGUUAAGUUCGCCGCCUGGGGAGUACGGUCGCAAGACUGAAACUCAAAUGAAUUGAC